GCCUGGCUGGCUCAGUUGGUUAAGCAUCUGACUCUUGAUUUUGGCUCGGGUCAUGAUCUCACAGUUUGUGGGAUCGAGCCCCAUGUUAGGCU
Transfer RNA from Felis catus (domestic cat), 92 nucleotides. It matches the Rfam family "tRNA". From Rfam's summary of the family: Transfer RNA (tRNA) molecules are approximately 80 nucleotides in length. Their secondary structure includes four short double-helical elements and three loops (D, anti-codon, and T loops). Lineage: Eukaryota; Metazoa; Chordata; Mammalia; Carnivora; Felidae. The record is from Rfam.